Molecule: transfer RNA, 50 nt
Filed under: Ensifer adhaerens
Lineage: Bacteria; Pseudomonadati; Pseudomonadota; Alphaproteobacteria; Hyphomicrobiales; Rhizobiaceae
Description: tRNA-Met
Rfam family: tRNA
About the family: Transfer RNA (tRNA) molecules are approximately 80 nucleotides in length. Their secondary structure includes four short double-helical elements and three loops (D, anti-codon, and T loops). Further hydrogen bonds mediate the characteristic L-shaped molecular structure. tRNAs have two regions of fundamental functional importance: the anti-codon, which is responsible for specific mRNA codon recognition, and the 3' end, to which the tRNAs corresponding amino acid is attached (by aminoacyl-tRNA synthetases). tRNAs cope with the degeneracy of the genetic code in two manners: having more than one tRNA (with a specific anti-codon) for a particular amino acid; and 'wobble' base-pairing, i.e. permitting non-standard base-pairing at the 3rd anti-codon position.
Source: RNAcentral
UCGUCAGGCUCAUAACCUGAAGGCCGCAGGUUCAAAUCCUGCCCCCGCAA